GUGCCAGCCGCCGCGGUAAUACGUAGGGUGCAAGCGUUAAUCGGAAUUACUGGGCGUAAAGCGUGCGCAGGCGGUUUUGUAAGACAGUCGUGAAAUCCCCGGGCUCAACCUGGGAAUUGCGAUUGUGACUGCAAGGCUGGAGUGCGGCAGAGGGGGAUGGAAUUCCGCGUGUAGCAGUGAAAUGCGUAGAUAUGCGGAGGAACACCGAUGGCGAAGGCAAUCCCCUGGGCCUGCACUGACGCUCAUGCACGAAAGCGUGGGGAGCAAACAGGAUUAGAAACCCCUGUAGUCC
RNAcentral lists this ribosomal RNA (292 nucleotides) under uncultured bacterium. RNAcentral's name for it is "partial 16S ribosomal RNA". It matches the Rfam family "Bacterial small subunit ribosomal RNA", at positions 505 to 796 of the family's 1533-position model. The record is from RNAcentral.